RNAcentral lists this ribosomal RNA (335 nucleotides) under uncultured Bacillota bacterium. RNAcentral describes it as "bacterial SSU rRNA". It matches the Rfam family "Bacterial small subunit ribosomal RNA", at positions 28 to 351 of the family's 1533-position model. The record is from RNAcentral. Lineage: Bacteria; Bacillati; Bacillota.
GAUGAACGCUGGCGGCGUGCCUAAUACAUGCAAGUCGAGCGAAUGGAUUAAGAGCUUGCUCUUAAGAAGUUAGCGGCGGACGGGUGAGUAACACGUGGGUAACCUGCCUAUAAGACUGGGAUAACUCCGGGAAACCGGGGCUAAUACCGGAUAACAUUUUGCACCGCAUGGUGCGAAAUUGAAAGGCGGCUUCGGCUGUCACUUAUAGAUGGACCUGCGGCGCAUUAGCUAGUUGGUGAGGUAACGGCUCACCAAGGCGACGAUGCGUAGCCGACCUGAGAGGGUGAUCGGCCACACUGGGACUGAGACACGGCCCAGACUCCUACGGGAGGCAG